UACGGGGGGGGCAAGCGUUGUUCGGAAUUACUGGGCGUAAAGGGUUUGUAGGUGGCUCGCUAAGUCAUACGUGAAAUCCCUCAGCUUAACUGGGGAACUGCGUGUGAGACUGGCAAGCUCGAGUGCAGGAGAGGAAUGCGGAAUUCCAGGUGUAGCGGUGAAAUGCGUAGAUAUCUGGAGGAACACCGGUGGCGAAGGCGGCAUCCUGGACCGGCAUUGACGCUGAGGAGCGAAAGCCAGGGGAGCAAACGGG
Molecule: ribosomal RNA, 253 nt
Filed under: uncultured bacterium
Lineage: Bacteria
Description: partial 16S ribosomal RNA
Rfam family: Bacterial small subunit ribosomal RNA
Source: RNAcentral